Long non-coding RNA from Chelonia mydas (Green sea turtle), 2022 nucleotides. RefSeq lists it as uncharacterized. The record is from RefSeq and is a predicted model, not a curated record. The transcript has 3 exons. Lineage: Eukaryota; Metazoa; Chordata; Testudines; Cheloniidae.
UUUGGCCACCGGAAGCCUGCCGCUGUGCCACACGAGAGCCACACUCAGCUUUGUACAGAUCACCCAGCUGCCUCACUGUGAUAAGGAAAAUGGAUUAAUAUCCCUCACCAGCGAUACAAAGAAAAACAGACUGAACGGUGUGCAUUUAACCAUCUCAGUGCCAAAGGUCCCCAGCUUCCCUCAGAAUUCUCCCUGAUCGUGCAAGCCUGUCAAUCAGAACAACUGCCUGGCAUUGUUGCUGAAGGAGGAAUGGAUGCCUGUGAACCUGAGGAAUUAAUAGGAAUCUGCCAGCUAUCAACAUCUGGGCGAGCUGGAGGGAAAGACCGGGAGAACAAAGGAGCUUGACUGAAAACCAGAGAUGGAACUCAUUGACCUGUUCUUAAUUUCUUUCUUUUGUUUAAUCUUUGCUUGCCUUUAUCUCAAAUUAAUUGUGUGGUAAAUAGAUCGAUUGAAGGCGGAUUAUUGUAAUUGACUAGUGAAAGAAUUGACCCUUGUGUCUUCAAUCUCUACUAUACCAAAUUAGUGAGGUCAUAAAAACAAAAUAAAACGCAUUCAGAGUAAACUGAAAGCCACUAUACAAUCCAACUGUAACGAUUUGGUUAGUUCAAGUACAGACCAUGUCUGCACAGCACCAGGCCUGAAUUUGCGUAGCCCAUAAGCACUGAUGAAAUUUCUGCAGAAGAGGGUAUUGCCUGUGUUUCACUCAAGUAUUUCGCCAAGAUUUGGGGCCUUGUCUUUGGUAGGAGGAAAAUCUGAGAGUAUGAGUCAGGUAUUUCUUUGGUGCAGUCCUGUUUAUUUACAAAGAAUGUACACAAAACCCUAUUUCCCUGAACACAGAAGAAACAAACAGCAGGAGAUGGUUUCCUUCUUCAGAAAUCCAGCAUUUCCAUAGACUACUGUAUCUAUAAGAAGCUCUGUCUCUCCAGUUCGCCCCAAGGUCUUACCUACCAUUUCCUCUCUCACUUGCUUUUGGCUAUCUGGUUGCUUUCUGCCUGUCUCAUGCACAGUCAGUCCUCUCCACGGCCUCUGCAUUUGCUGUCAGUCCUCAGAGGAAACCCUUAAACCGACAUGGCUUAGCUUGUGACUGGCCUAGCUCAGUGCUGUGGAUGAUGGCUUCCUACAGUGUCAACUAUCUAUCACUACACAUAGGAGCAUUUAAUUGCUCCUUCUAUUUAGCCCGAAUGAAGGGUGGUUAGUGCACACAUCAGCUUUAACCAAGUAUGUGACUGAUCUGUAGAUCAAAGACACACUUAAUGGCAGCCAUGAAUACCUUACACCAUAACAAUUUGUCUAUCUGUUUUCUCACCUGAACUGUUCACAAGUUCUCUCUGACAAAAUCGUAUUCAAUUUUUGCCUCACUGUGGGUUUAGCCAAUAUACUAAAAAUAGAUUGUACCAUUGUAAAUAGGGGUAAUUAAGACAGGAUCCCUGUUGUUCAGGCCGAGUGCUCUGAGAGACUCAAGAAUGCCUCUGAGAAACCAGAUUUGAUUCUCCCUACUGCUUUGGAACUCAAGCACAACUAAUAACUGGGUCCCAAGAAUGAAGCCAUGGGUAAAUAUUAAGGGGGAAAUUGAGGCAUUCACUAAGGGAAGGAGAGUGGGGAGGAAGAGCCUCUGUGCCUGAUGAGGGCAGAAUUGUAAGGAAGACUUAUGAUUUGAUAGACUCUGUAGCAAAUACAGCUCCCAUUUAGUCUUAUCGAUCAAAUCCUCCACUUACAAUCCUCUCCUAUGCUAGUAGUUUCUUUCCUCAACUGCACUGAGCAAGGAGAAAAUAAAAAUCUAUGCCGACCAGUCUUUAUGACACUGUUAAUAGGAGCUAUAAGGAAAUACAAUCAACAUGUGACUAUAGCCAAAAGGGGAGUUUGUGCCUCUCUGACAAAUAACAUGCAGCACACUGCCAUAGUCAAGAUUUACUGCAGAUUCUUAAAGAACUGUUUGUUGAUGCCAAGCUAAUAAAUAUAUCGGUUAAAAUCAACUGUAUUUUCCAUGCACCAUCACACAUGAUACAAGAGUGCCAGCAGAGG